UACAGAGGUCUCAAGCGUUGUUCGGAUUCAUUGGGCGUAAAGGGUGCGUAGGUGGCGCCGUAAGUCAGGUGUGAAAUCUCGGGGCUCAACCCCGAAACUGCACUUGAUACUGCGGUGCUCGAGUACUGGAGAGGAGAUUGGAAUUUACGGUGUAGCAGUGAAAUGCGUAGAUAUCGUAAGGAAGACCAGUGGCGAAGGCGGCUCACUGGCCCGUAACUGACGCUGAGGCACGAAAGCGUGGGGAGCAAACAGG
RNAcentral lists this ribosomal RNA (253 nucleotides) under uncultured bacterium. Its description in RNAcentral is "partial 16S ribosomal RNA". It matches the Rfam family "Bacterial small subunit ribosomal RNA", at positions 524 to 776 of the family's 1533-position model. The record is from RNAcentral.